ACCGGCGCACGGGUGCGUAACGCGUAUGCAAUCUACCUUGUACAGGGGAAUAGCCCAGAGAAAUUUGGAUUAAUACCCCAUAGUGUUUAGAAGUGGCAUCACUUUUUUACUAAAGUUCCAACGGUACAAGAUGAGCAUGCGUCCCAUUAGCUAGUUGGUAUGGUAACGGCAUACCAAGGCUAUGAUGGGUAGGGGUCCUGAGAGGGAGAUCCCCCACACUGGUACUGAGACACGGACCAGACUCCUACGGGAGGCAGCAGUGAGGAAUAUUGGUCAAUGGUCGCAAGACUGAACCAGCCAUGCCGCGUGCAGGAAGACGGUCCUAUGGAUUGUAAACUGCUUUUAUACAGGAAGAAACCCUCUCACGUGUGGGAGCUUGACGGUACUGUAUGAAUAAGCAUCGGCUAACUCCGUGCCAGCAGCCGCGGUAAUACGGAGGAUGCGAGCGUUAUCCGGAAUCAUUGGGUUUAAAGGGUCCGUAGGCGGUUUAAUAAGUCAGUGGUGAAAUCUGGUCGCUCAACGAUCAAACUGCCAUUGAUACUGUUAGACUUGAAUUAUUGUGAAGUAACUAGAAUAUGUAGUGUAGCGGUGAAAUGCUUAGAUAUUACAUGGAAUACCAAUUGCGAAGGCAGGUUACUAACAAUUUAUUGACGCUGAUGGACGAAAGCGUGGGGAGCGAACAGGAUUAGAUACCCUGGUA
Molecule: ribosomal RNA, 700 nt
Filed under: uncultured bacterium
Lineage: Bacteria
Description: bacterial SSU rRNA
Rfam family: Bacterial small subunit ribosomal RNA
Source: RNAcentral